UACAGAGGUCCCGAGCGUUGUUCGGAUUCACUGGGCGUAAAGGGUGCGUAGGCGGUCGGGUAAGUCUGAUGUGAAAUCUCACAGCUUAACUGUGAAACUGCAUUGGAUACUAUUCGGCUUGAGGUCUGGAGGGGGGACUGGAAUUCUCGGUGUAGCAGUGAAAUGCGUAGAUAUCGAGAGGAACACCAGUGGCGAAGGCGAGUCCCUGGACAUUUCCUGACGCUGAGGCACGAAAGCCAGGGGAGCAAACGGG
This 253-nucleotide ribosomal RNA is filed under the name uncultured bacterium. Its description in RNAcentral is "partial 16S ribosomal RNA". It matches the Rfam family "Bacterial small subunit ribosomal RNA", at positions 524 to 776 of the family's 1533-position model. The record is from RNAcentral.